This 229-nucleotide ribosomal RNA is filed under the name uncultured bacterium. RNAcentral's name for it is "partial 16S ribosomal RNA". It matches the Rfam family "Bacterial small subunit ribosomal RNA", at positions 568 to 796 of the family's 1533-position model. The record is from RNAcentral.
UGUGUAGGCGGAAAAUUAAGUCAGUAGUGAAAUCCUGCAGCUUAACUGUAGAACUGUUAUUGAUACUGGUUUUCUUGAAUAUAGUUGAGGUAGGCGGAAUGUGUAAUGUAGCGGUGAAAUGCUUAGAUAUUACACAGAACACCGAUUGCGAAGGCAGCUUACUAAGCUAUGAUUGACGCUGAGGUACGAAAGCGUGGGGAGCGAACAGGAUUAGAUACCCUGGUAGUCC